Molecule: long non-coding RNA, 3045 nt
Filed under: Parus major (Great Tit)
Lineage: Eukaryota; Metazoa; Chordata; Aves; Passeriformes; Paridae
Description: lncRNA (ENSPMJG00000000841.1)
Source: RNAcentral
AUGCACAAUGUUUCCUUUCACAGGUGGGUUGAGAUAAACCCUCACAGAUUCCUGAACACUGAGGAAAUGCCUCCUUCCCCAUCCAAGACUCGGCAGAAGAAGGCUGGAAAAGAGAAGGUCUGUGACAAAAACUCUGCAGGAGACUCAAAGAUCCACCGUGGGAAGUGGAGGGAAGAUCAGAGCAGAGGCCAAGUGAAAGCCAAAGAGUCACUGCCUGGAAAAGGUGACAGCCUUGGAGAAGAGCCCUUAAAAAUCCAGAGGCUGGGGAGGCCUCAGGAAAGCAAAGAAAAUGACCACAAGAAGUUAUUCCAAAAAAAAAGAGCCUGCAGGAGAAAUGAUAAAAGUGAAUCCAGUUUGGGGAGAAAACGUGGAGUGUCCAGGUUGGAGGGGAGAAAAGGAAAAGCUUGCAAGCAAAGGGAAAUGACAUCAGGGCAGGAGACUGAGGACAGCAGUGACAAGGAGGGAAAAGCCAUCACAAACAGAAAGAAACGGAGUUUUAAAAAGAGGUGUGGGAAGAGACUUGGUGAGACAGGCUCUGAGCUGGGGGCUGUAAAGGCUAUCACAGAACAAGGUGCUAAAGGCUCUUUUCAGAAACAGAACUUGGCAGAAAAGGCACAGAACCCCAGGGGAAGGCACAGAGGGAAUUGGGACUUCAAGGAGGCUUCUGAGCAGAAAUCAGGUUCUCAAUCCCAAGGCAGUACAGCACAGGAAAAAGGUGAGAGGACUGGGAAAAAGCAAGUUGAAAAUCUUACCAGGAUUGUCAUUACUGAAAGCGAGGAUGAAAAUAUUCUGGAAACCUCAGGUAACUCCUGCUCUGACUCCAGCAGUGAAGGCCAUGAAACCCACAGAACAGCUACAAAGGAGACUGUGGUGGACAGCACUUCCUCCAGUGAAGAGAAAAGCAGCUCUUGUGAAGAGAAGAGCAGCUCUUCAGGGGAAGAUGGCAACAGUGGGAAAGAAGUUGUGCUCGAAUAUCCCCCUGUGAGUGAAGGAAAAGGCUACAAGGAACUGGCUGAUGAAAGCAAGGAAGCACCUUUUGAACCUGAAAAGGAGCAGGUGACCACAAGUGGAAAAAUUGAAUCUGAGGCCAAAGGCACUGAAUUUGCAGAAUUGGAAGCAGAGGAGAGGAUGAGGAAGCCAGACAAGAUGCUGAGACAACCGGAAUGUGCUCCAGCUGAGAGCAGUGAGGCAGAUGAUCAGUUAAGCACUUCUGGACUCCCAGUUAAGAGUGUUAAGGACAGGAAAAAUAUUGAAGUAGACAAGGAAAAUAUACUAGAAAAUGACAGAGAUAUGUCAAAAGAUGGACCAGUGAAUUCUGACAGCAGUGGAGAGAGCAGCCCUGUAGAGAAUAUUGAUGAAGUAAAAGAAAACAAACCAGAAUUGCUCCCAACUGCUGUGAAAGCAAAACUCCACAUUCACCUUAGCAGAUGUGAACAGGAAAAGAAGGUGAAUGAUGAAGGCAGACAGGUGGAAGAUGGAUCUUUCCUCUCCAAGGAGCAGAAGUCAUUGAAGGAGAAACCUGGGAAAUGCAAGAUCCCAGAACAAGGUGAAGAGGCUGGACAUAGGCAGAGGGACAGUUCAGACCGCAGCAGGCAGGAUCUACCAGCUCUGAUGCUUACAAAGAAAUGUCCUUCUCAAUCCCAAAUCUCCCUGCAAAACCAGCAUGAAAACACUGAGAUCAAACUAUCACCAAGCCAGAAACCAAAUCCUGCCCAGAUGGCUUUGGGAACCAGCUCAGACCAGAACAAUGUUCCAAACAUCUGUUCAAAACCCAUAACUCUAGAAACUCCCAGUAAACAGAAAGAACCCAACAUAGCUCAGAGUUUUGGAGAGAAAAGAUUAAAUACUUCAAGCUGCUCCACAAUUACAAAAGAAUUGUCUGAUAAGCAGCUCCUUGGAAAGAAGAAGAAGAAAGUUGGAAAAGUUAUUGGAAAAGUUAAACAGAGUUCAGGCCGGUCUACAAAGGCAGAAAAAGAGAAAACAGAAGAAGUGGUUGCAGAGGCACCUUCUGAAACAGAACCUGGGUAUGGUGGGGAAGGAUCCAAACACUUGCACACCCAUUCUGCUUUUAGAAAAGUCACCAGCUGGCUUGGCCAAAAACCUGCCAAGAAAGCAAGGCUGAAAGCUCGAUUGCUGAGUGUGGCACGUGCAAUUGGUAUCUCCAGAUGGCUCUUGAAGAAAAUUGGAAAGAAGAAGAAGAAGAGCAGCAAACCUUUUGGAUUCAGAAGUAGAAUGGCAAUCCGGAUUCUGAGCACUGCUGGGUGGGCUGGUCGGUCUGGCAAAGCCUUCCCUGGUGCAGCUGAACAGCUGGAGAGGGCUGAGCUGAGGGACAAAGAAUCUUCUGCUGCAUUAGUGGAGGGGAAAGGUGGUCCUAAAAUUACAGAGGAAGUGGGACACAUUGAUUUGGCUCCUGGUGAUUCCCCUGCUCAUGGAACCGGUUCCUUUCCAUGCUCAGAUGAGAAGAACAGUGCUACUGAUGCCAAGUUUGCUGUAGUGUUCCCCAGAGUCCACAGCUUGGUUAAGGCUAAGAACUCCUUGUCCAGGGGCUCUGGCAGUGGUUAUUCCUUACAGAAAAUGAAAUCUCCAUCAGAGAGAAGAUCUGUCACUCCUGUGCAACAGAGUCACAGAUUCAAAUGUGACCUUCCCAGAUCUCUGAUGGAUCCAAGCCACCAAAAGAGUGAGCAGGGCUUCCUCCCAUGUCGAGAGGAGGAGCCACUUCAUACAUCAGAUUAUUGCAGUGAGGUGGAUACCAAGGAGGGUUCAGGUGACCUCCAGACUGCAGGAUCCGUGGUCACUCCUGCUGUGCACUGGUCCCAGCAGCAGGGAUGUGACCCUGCAGCGUGGCUGAACUCUGAGCUGCUGCCACAGCCAACCAUCGAGAACCUGAGCAAAUGGGCCAUCUCCAAGGAGCCCCAGCUGACCAGCAGCCGUGUGAGGGUCUGCAGGGACCAGUGGGAGGCAGAAGAUGUUGCUGACAACAUGCUGGAGAUGGAGUUCAUGCAGGAACAGGUACAGGUGUUGUCCCCAGUACUGGAAUGGAGCUGA